RNAcentral lists this ribosomal RNA (465 nucleotides) under uncultured bacterium. RNAcentral's name for it is "partial 16S ribosomal RNA". It matches the Rfam family "Bacterial small subunit ribosomal RNA", at positions 28 to 507 of the family's 1533-position model. The record is from RNAcentral.
GACGAACGCUGGCGGCGUGCUUAACACAUGCAAGUCGAACGGAAAGGCCCUGCUUUCAUGGUGCUCGAGUGUCGAACGGGGGAGUAACACGUGGGUGUUCUCUGCUGCUCUUCUGGAUAUGCCUUGGAGACAGUGUCUAAUAUCGGAUAUGGGCCAUUUUGAUGGUGAUGGUUGGAAAGUUUUUUCGGUGUAGGGUGAGCUCGCGGCCUGUUUGUUUGUUGGUUGGGUAAUGGCCUACCAAGGCGGGCAUUGGUAGGCGGCCUGAGAGGGUGGAUGGCCACAUUGGGGCUGAGAUACGGCCCAGACUCCCACGGGAGGGAGAAGUGGGGAAUAUUGCACAAUGGGCGCAAGCCUGAUGCAGCGACGCCGCGUGGGGGAUGACGGCCUUCGGGUUGUGAAAUCCUUUCGCUAGGGACGAAGCUUUUUGUGACGGUAACUAGAUAAGAAGCACCGGCUAACUACGUG